This 245-nucleotide ribosomal RNA is filed under the name uncultured bacterium. RNAcentral's name for it is "partial 16S ribosomal RNA". It matches the Rfam family "Bacterial small subunit ribosomal RNA", at positions 96 to 334 of the family's 1533-position model. The record is from RNAcentral.
CGGCGAACGGGUGAGUAACACGUGGGUAACCAACCCUUGACAUCGGGAUACCCCGGGGAAACCCCGGAUCAAUACCGAAUAAGGUGCGGAGACGCUGGUCACCGUACCAAAGGUAGCUUCGGCCUCCGGUCAGGGACGGGCCCGCGGCCCAUUAGCUAGUCGGUGGGGUAACGGCCUACCGAGGCAACGAUGGGUAGCUGGUCUGAGAGGACGAUCAGCCACACUGGGACUGAGACACGGCCCAG